RNAcentral lists this long non-coding RNA (887 nucleotides) under Toxoplasma gondii VEG. The record is from RNAcentral. Lineage: Eukaryota; Apicomplexa; Conoidasida; Eucoccidiorida; Sarcocystidae.
GGGUCUCUCUCCAACGCAUCCACUGAGUUUAAUUCCAAAAGAACUGUGCUCCCGCUAAUGAGCAUCCUGUCGUCAGUCACCACAGCGACGCUUUCUCUACCUGUCAGAGACAACUGAAGCUAGACGCCUUGUCACACAUAGUCGUGUGGACUUGCCUGUUUUCCGCGUUCCAGCUAAGGGUCUUCUCUGGGCCAGCUUAUCGCCGCCCGUUCGGCUCUCAACUGAACGACACGCGGCAGGAAAGCCUCUUUUCUUCCUCUCUCUGACUGUCAGAGUAUGCAGCGAAGUCCGAUGGGUGCCGUCUUUGUCGCUGCUCCUUCGUGCUACUAAAAAAAAGUAGAGAGCUUCUCUCAAGACUUCCAUGCGGUGUACAUACACCCCAACUGACACCCCUGGUUCGGGGAUUUAGGUAUCUUUGCUUUCAAGUUUCCUGCCAGCUUUUUGCCUGCUUCUUUGUGCAGUGUGUGACACAGCAUCCAGCAAGACAGCAUGUGUUUAGAGUAGAACCUCUUUCAACACAGAGUGGCAGUUUCGUGUAGAGACUGGUGUCUCGCGCUCUCAACAAGAAGAGGCAGAGCGACCUUCCCUGUGAGAACUUGUCGCCGAGCCUUUCAAUAAUUUGUCGGGAGGCUUUACAACGAAGCUCUCCCGUCUAAUCUACGGGUUUUUUCGGUGGCUCGGAUAAAACCAUUUCUCUGCUGUUCGUGCUGGGGGAAUUCUUUCUCCUAAGAAGAUCCACCAGCAAAGCCGUGGAGAACCGAGCCCGGCAACCGUGUGCGGUGUCCCCCAGAGAAAACGCAGUCGUUCAGUGAAGGGCAGCAAUCUCUGUCUUCCGCAAAAGCGAUCGCCGACGAAGAUGCAAACAUUUUCUCUCAAAAAACGCGUCC